AUCGCUUCUCGGCCUUUUGGCUAAGAUCAAGUGUAGUAUCUGUUCUUAUCAGAAGAGAUUUUGUGAGCUCAAUGUAUUUUAAAUUGUCUGCAGCACAAUAAGAUGCCGUUCUUUUAACCAUAU
Small nuclear RNA from Clupea harengus (Atlantic herring), 123 nucleotides. Its record names the gene U2. It matches the Rfam family "U2 spliceosomal RNA". From Rfam's summary of the family: U2 is a small nuclear RNA (snRNA) component of the spliceosome (involved in pre-mRNA splicing). Complementary binding between U2 snRNA (in an area lying towards the 5' end but 3' to hairpin I) and the branchpoint sequence (BPS) of the intron results the bulging out of an unpaired adenosine, on the BPS, which initiates a nucleophilic attack at the intronic 5' splice site, thus starting the first of two transesterification reactions that mediate splicing. NCBI's taxonomy places the organism in Eukaryota, Metazoa, Chordata, Actinopteri, Clupeiformes, Clupeidae. The record is from Ensembl.